UGUAAUGUUAUGGAAUGAAAUGUCCUUGUUUCAGACCAACAGCUUACAGAGAAGGCAUAUAGCUUUUUCGAUGUGAAAAGCUAGAAACGACCACUAGAGGAAAUCCUGGUAAAUAAAUAUAAAAUGUAUCAGAAUCAAAGGUUCUAUCCUAAUCUAAUGUGGGGUGGCAGGUAGCCUAGUGGUUUGAGCGUUGGGCAGGUAGCCUCGUGGUUUGAGCGUUGGGCAGGUAGCCUCGUGGUUAGAGCAAUGGACAGGUAGCCUCGUGGUUAGAGCAAUGGACAGGUAGCCUCGUGGUUAGAGCGAUGGACAGGUAGCCUCGUGGUUAGAGCGAUGGACAGGUAGCCUCGUGGUUAGAGCGAUGGACAGGUAGCCUAGUGGUUAGAGCGAUGGACAGGUAGCCUAGUGGUUAGAGCGAUGGGCAGGUAGCCUAGUGGUUAGAGCGAUGGGCAGGUAGCCUCGUGGUUAGAGCGAUGGGCAGGUAGCCUAGUGGUUAGAGCGUUGGGCAUGUAGCCUAGUGGUUAGAGCGUUGGGCCAGUAACCAAAAGCUGACAAGGUCAAAAAUCUGUCUUUCUGCUCCUGAACAAGGCAGUUAACCCACUGUUCCACGGUAGGCUGUUAUUGUAAAUAAGAAUUUGUUCUUAACUGACUUGCCUAGUUAAAUAAAAUAAAAGUUAAAUUUAAAGACUGCCAAGCCAUUUAACAUGACCAAGAAAACCACUAAGCUAUGUGUAUUUUGUACAAUGUCUGUUAGUAGUGAAAUGAAAUGUACGUGUGUUUAAAGAGAGUCACCAUUUUUUUGGACUGAUUCGGCCAAACUAGUCUACAUACAUCUACAGGUGUGAUAAUGUUAUAUUUGUCCAUCAACAAGGUUACUGAUCCAAACAGAUGUGCUAGAAGGUAAAGGGGUUCAGUGUAGUAGUGGUGGGGGUGGCCAUGAUGAUAUUGAGGGUUUAGGGGGUCAGUAUAGUUGUGGUGGGGGUAAAGGGGUUCAGUAUAGUCGUGGUGGGGGUGAUUGAGGGUUUAGGGGGUAAAGGGGAGUCAUGCUAUCUUGUCUGUAGUCUGCUCUAGUUUACACAGCUCGCUAGAUGUUAGUCUCUCUAGCCCCUGUGUGUCUCUGUAGGUGGAGUUGUCUCGCUAUCGUCCUUGGUUGAAGUCUUGCCAUGUGUUGUGACUGCUGCUCCUUCUCCCCCUGUGCACAUAGAUGGCUCCAGAAUGCUGUGUGUAGGCUGACAGGAUUACAUGCCUCUUUGAGCCUAUGCGAUUAUAGAAGAUAUAGUGAUGUUUUCUUCAUUGAAACAUCACAGUAUUCACAUUGCUUGACUUUUUCCCACGUUUUGGUUGUGUUAGACAAUUUAAAAUUGAUUUAAUAAAAAUAUAUAUAUGAAUUGUAAAUAAUGUCAAAGUAGAAAAUGUUUUUAGACAUUUUUACAAAUUUAAUUAAAAAUGAAACCCUGUAAUGUCUUGAGUCAAAUAUUCAACCCCUUUCUUAGGGCAAGUCCACAUAAGUUCAGGACAACAAAUGUGCUUAAAGUCAGAGUAAGUUGCAUGGACUCACUCUGUGUGCAAUAGUAGUGUUUAACCUGAUGUUUGAAUCACUACCUCACCCCGGUACCCCACACAUACCAUUUUCUGUAAGUGGGGGUCUAGCAGUGGAUUUAAAUUACAGAUUCAACCACAAAGACCAGGGAGGUUUUCCAAUGCCUCACAAAGAAGGACACCUAUUAGUAGAUGGGUAAAAACUUUUUUUUUUUAAAGCAGACAUUGAAUAUCCCUUGGAGCAGGGUAAAGUUAUUAAUUACACUUUGGAUGGUGUAUCAAUACACCCAGUCACUACAAAUAUACAGCUGUCCUUCCUAACUCAGUUGCCGGAGAAGAAGGAAACCGCUCAGGGAUUUCACCAUGAGGCCAAUGGUGGCUUUAAAAUCAAUUCAAAUUUAUUUAUAUAGCCCUUCGUACAUCAGCUGAUAUCUCAAAGUGCUGUACAGAAACCCAGCCUAAAACCCCAAACCGCAAGCAAUGCAGGUGUAGAAGCACGGUGGCUAGGAAAAACUCCAUAGAAAGGCCAAAACCUAGGAAGACACCUAGAGAGGAACCAGGCUAUGUGGGCUGGCCAUUCCUCUUCUGGCUGUGCCGGGUGGAGAUUAUAACAGAACAUGGCCAAGAUGUUCAAAUGUUCAUAAAUGACCAGCAUGGUCCAAUAAUAAUAAGGCAGAUCAGUUGAAACUGGAGCAGCAGCACGGCCAGGUGGACUGGGGACAGCAAGGAGUCAUGUCAGGUAGUCCUGAGGCAUGGUCCUAGGGCUCAGGUCCUCCGAGAGAGAGAGGGAAAGAAAGAGAGAAUUAGAGAGAGCACACUUAAAUUCACACAGGACACCGAAUAGGACAGGAGAAGUACUCCAGAUAUAACAAACUGACCCUAGCCCCCCGACACAUAAACUACUGCAGCAUAAAUACUGGAGGCUGAGACAGGAGGGGUCAGGAGACACUGUGGCCCCAUCCGAGGACACCCCCCGGUUACAGAGCUUAAUGGUUUUGAUAGGAAACUGAGGAUGGAUCAACAACAUUGUAGUUACUCCACAAUACAAACCUAAUUGAUAUAGUGAAAAGAAGGAAGCCUGUACAUGCAUCAUGUUUGCAACAAGGCACUAAAGUAGUCCUGCAAAAACAUUGGCAAAACAAACUUUUUGUCCUGAAUACAAAGUGUUAUGUUUAGGCCAAAUCCAAUACAACACAUUACUGAGUACCCCUCUCCAUAUUUUCAAGCAUCAUGUCAUGGGUAUGCUUGUAAUCAUUAAGGACUGGGGAGUUUUUCAGGAUAAAAAAAAAAAAAACGGCUGGAGCUAAGCACAGGCAAAAAUCCUAGAGGGAGGAAAACCUGAUUUCAGUCUGCUUUCCACCAGACACUGGGAGAUGAAGUCACCUUUCAGCAGGACAAUAACCUCAAACACAAGGCCAAAUCUACACUGCAGUUGCUUACCAACAUUGAAUGUUCCACAAAAUGUGGAAUAAGUCGGGGCCUAUCGAAUACUUUCUGAAGACACUGUAUCAAUAGCUACAUUAUUUGUCACAUGGAUGCGUAUUCAGGUGCUAAUAGAAUUGUGUAUCACACCCACCUACAACCACCAAGAUGGCUACAUCCUUACACUGGAUUCACAUGUACCAUUGCCUUUAUGUAUAUCACAUAUAUAAAUAUCAUAUGGACUCUCUUGUCACGAUAACACACACACGUACAGGAUCAAGAUGUGCCAUGAUUAAAUAACGC
Oncorhynchus tshawytscha (Chinook salmon) is the source of this 3261-nucleotide long non-coding RNA. Lineage: Eukaryota; Metazoa; Chordata; Actinopteri; Salmoniformes; Salmonidae. The record is from Ensembl.